GGUGCAGGCCCUGUGCUGAGCAAUGGAGGCCACACAUGGUCCUUACCCCAAGGAGCUCACAGUCCAAAGGGGAGGAGAGCC
Molecule: microRNA precursor, 81 nt
Filed under: Myotis lucifugus (little brown bat)
Lineage: Eukaryota; Metazoa; Chordata; Mammalia; Chiroptera; Vespertilionidae
Description: miRNA (ENSMLUG00000028423.1)
Source: RNAcentral